GGGAAAACACUUGCCGAUUCAACGAUACAACGCCACUUCACGAAAAUGACACCAAAGCAUAGCAACACACAAGACUUAAACAUUGAAGAACCGUUACAAAAGUAAAGACAGGUUGAUCACCGGUUUAAAAAAAUGUACUAGCCUUCGGCCUUCUUUGAAGCAUUUAGUCGAACAUAUAGGAUGCACCAGUUAACAAAAGGAACCUAGUCUCACUUGGGACAUAGAUUUGGGGCAAACGUCAACACUACAUGCACAAGCCAUACUAAAAAUCCGCUCAUGGACCAGUUAAUCAAGUCGGAACAGACAUAAACGAAGAACAACCAUCUCCAGGCUUCAAAAAAACUUGCAGAACUUAGAUAUAAUUUAGGCAUUUUCACAAGCACUUGGUGUGCUCGAUUGGCACGGGGGAUUUUCCACUUGAUAGAGACAUGAGACAAAUCUAAACUGCUACCACGUACUAGAAUAGCUAGUAGCUUACCAAGAGGACCGGCUCGGACCGAAACUUGCGCGAACUAGUCAGCACGAGUUCCGGCCCAACGCCUCCCAAGAAACAAGAGACACACGCUCAAAACAAAGCCUACCUGGUUCGAGAGGAGGGCUGCGGCGAUGAACGGACCUCCGGCGACGACCAAACACUCUCCCAAGCUUGCUCUUCGGUGUUCUCUGCUCUCUCUCGACUUCGGGCAACGGCGAAACGCUCUCUC
RNAcentral lists this long non-coding RNA (704 nucleotides) under Eucalyptus grandis. Its description in RNAcentral is "long non-coding RNA (EGRA_LNC002715)". The record is from RNAcentral. Lineage: Eukaryota; Viridiplantae; Streptophyta; Magnoliopsida; Myrtales; Myrtaceae.